UCCCACUCUCUGCCCCAGUGACAUGAAAAGUAGUAAAAAGAGCUGAGGGAACUGCUGUGCUAGACCAGGUGAAUAAAAACUCUCCCAAUAAAGAUGUCUGUUCAUAGGAUAAAGGAGUUGAAUCUCCAGGCAGGCAGUGUGGUAGCGAUCCCCAGUAAGCAAUGAGUGCCUGCAUUGGGCUGUGCUGCGUCCCCUACUAGAGGGCACAUGCAGGAGUGGUGGGCAGCACAUGGUCCUGCUUACCACCAUGACCCCUCCUGCCCUGAGCUGCCAGACAGCCGCAGUAGCAGCUCUGCAGCACCCACAGCUCAUGUGCAGUGCGUCCCGUGAUCAGCCCAAAGAGGAAAAGUGCUGUGCAAGCGUCAGCCGCUGUUGUUCCUGGCAGCACUGCGUGGGGAUGCUUGCAGGCAGUGCCUGUGGGGCUGGCUAACCGCUAACCAGCGCGGAGCCUCUGCGCUUAGAGGCACCGAGCACUAUUCACCACACAUAUUCCCAUUUGCAAAAUAAAAAGUGAUUCUGACAACAAAGUCUUUCAGUGACUAAGCGACCAGCGCGCCGCUGGUACCAAGUAGUUGGCACCAUUUCUAUCAUAAACACUGCUAUCAGGUCAUUGUAACUCAGCUGUAAAAACUUGCUCCAGGCUGAUAUUUGGCAAACAAGACCCUGCAAGAUAAUCCUUUUUUAAACACAUUAUCCUAUCUGAGUAAUCUACAGACAUGGGAAUGGAAGAGGUCUGCAGAUGCAAUCCUCACGGACAUCUCUGUUGAUCUUCUCUGCUGAUGUGGAGAAGGGCACCCAGGGAUGGGAGCACCUGGCCAUCUCAGAGGGAAUCCCAGAGUCCCACAGACAUACCUCCUCCCACCUGAAGCCACCAGCUUUCCCACAGAAGUGAAGGGAUCAGGAUGCAGAGAGAUACUGAGAAUAUAGAUGGUACGAAUGGUUUACCUUUCCAUCCUGUGCACACAGUAGAUCUGGAGGAUCUGCAAAAGCAAUUCUUUGGCACAAGUGGAGAAGACACCACAACCACAACUACCACCUCAGUGGCGAAAGCAGCAGUAGGUGCCCACGAUCCA
Molecule: long non-coding RNA, 1073 nt
Filed under: Gallus gallus (chicken)
Lineage: Eukaryota; Metazoa; Chordata; Aves; Galliformes; Phasianidae
Description: lncRNA (ENSGALG00010013756.1)
Source: RNAcentral